Patella vulgata (common limpet) is the source of this 1686-nucleotide long non-coding RNA. RefSeq lists it as uncharacterized. NCBI's taxonomy places the organism in Eukaryota, Metazoa, Mollusca, Gastropoda, Patellidae. The transcript is spliced from 3 exons. The record is from RefSeq and is a predicted model, not a curated record.
AGCCUAUAUAUAAUACAUCACUGCACAGCUUCAUAUAUAUAAACUCUAUAAAGCUAGAAAUUGCCAGAAGUCACUACCAGCUUCACUAUAUGGACAAGACUAGUAAUUAUUUCCCCUUAUUUCAUGAUGGACGAAUGUAGUGCGAGUUAUAAAUAGACAAUUUUUCCCUUAAUUUUUUUCUCCCCUCUUCCUGCAUUUUUAGGUUGACUUUUUGGUCUAGAAUUGGAGAAAAGGGAUCAAAUUUGCAAUUUCAUAGCAGUUUUGGGUAAUACUGAUGAUAUUACAGCGGAGGGAUAGGGGGUGUAAAGUGUCUUUCUGCAGAGCAAUCAUUGUGUCGGAAGUGAGAUUUUCACCACUGUCAACUUCAAAUCCGUGUAGCAAAAAAUCUAAACGGUCAACCCCCUACAAAAUUAUGAUGAGGAGAUUGCCAAAUGCUGUCCCCAUUGUGCCUAUAAAGAUUGGAACCAACGGAAUGUUGAGCAAAAAGCUACAGCCUGUGAUGUUACAGUCAUUUAACAUUGAGGUCAAUGGACAAAUAAUUGCUAGUCUGAGUCCUGAUGAUAUAAAGAAGCAUGGCCGACUCGGGAUGUUGAUAUUUUUUCAACGGCUUAUUUCCUGAAGUUUUGAAUGGAAAGUGUCAGAAAUGGUGCCAGGGUAAUGUUUCAUAGAGUGGAAUGAUUGACCUCAACACAAGUAUUAAAAAAAAAAGAAGCAAAACAGGUCUACAUCUCAAAACCUGAUGUCUUCCUGGACUGGCUUUAGGAGAACGAUGAUGCAUAUCAAUUUCAUCCCUGAUCUCUAUGACACCUGUGGUGGAAGUGGAGGGCAAAUCGUAAUCAGUUUGGGUUCCAGCCCCGAGGACCUCUGUAAACUUUGCUUUUUGGUGAUGACUUAAUUUCUGAGCUUGAAAAGGACGCUUGUGUGUUUAUCAUGGCCUCUCAUAUUGGAAGAUAACAUUAAUGGCUUGUGUGUUGAUCGACGGUUGUGCAUAUCUCUUGGUCAGGAAAGUUGUAGGCACCAUCGCCAUUGUAAAUCAUUUGACAGGCCUGAGUGAACAGGGCGACCUAUGAUUGGUCAGCAAUGUACCAGAUUCCAUACUGGGGGGUGGGGAUGAAAAAACUGUUGUGGUGUUACAUAAUCAGAUUAUUUCAACUUACUUAUCCUGUGGAAAUACAGCUAUAUAGGAGGUAUUUUGAAAUUCAUAGGCACUACAUGUUUCAACAUCUUAGAUUUGACCACAAUUUGGCACUUGAAACUAUGUUAACAGAGAAAAACUGUGUGGUUUUCGAUGAAAGUGUUAAAAGUCUAAUAUUGCAUCAUGAUUACUGUUUUAAAGUAUUUUUGUGUUUGAUUUAUAUUUAAUUCAUCUCAUCUUUUUGAAGAAUGCAUUUAUGUUCAAAAAUAAAAAAUGUUCUGUGGAAUUCAAAAUUCAUGUGCUUUUAAAUUAUCAGAUUCCAACCUGGGGGGUGGGGAUGAAAUGUUUCAACAUUUUAGAUUUGACCACAAUUUGGCACUUGAAAUUAAGAUAACAGAGAAAAACUGUGUGGUUUUCGAUGAAAGUGUUAAAAAGUCUAAUAUUGCAUCAUGAUUACUGUUUUAAAGUAUUUUCGUGUUUGAUUUAUAUUGAAUUUAUCUCAUCUUUUUACAGAAUGCAUUUAUGUUCAAAAAUAAAAAUGUUCUGUUUAA